This 71-nucleotide transfer RNA is filed under the name Perkinsus olseni. Its description in RNAcentral is "tRNA-Gly". It matches the Rfam family "tRNA". Rfam says of the family: Transfer RNA (tRNA) molecules are approximately 80 nucleotides in length. Lineage: Eukaryota; Perkinsozoa; Perkinsida; Perkinsidae. The record is from RNAcentral.
GCAUCAUUGGUCUAGUGGUAGAAUACAACAUUGCCAUCGUUGUGACCCGAGUUCGAUUCUCGGAUGAUGCA